This is a long non-coding RNA of Mytilus californianus (California mussel), 1341 nucleotides long. RefSeq lists it as uncharacterized. The transcript is spliced from 6 exons. NCBI's taxonomy places the organism in Eukaryota, Metazoa, Mollusca, Bivalvia, Mytilida, Mytilidae. The record is from RefSeq and is a predicted model, not a curated record.
UGGUGAUUUUUUUUUUUCUUCCCUAUUUAUUGUUCAACUGACUUAUUAGAUCGCAGCCCGCAGCCCGCAACCAGCAAAAUAUACACACUCAUAAGAUCCUGCAUGGAGAAGCAUCAGUCAUUAUCCCAGAUUACAUCAGGAGACCAACUGUAACAACCAGACAAUACCACAGAGACAGGUUUUCCAGAGUCAGCACUUCAAUGGAUGGCUAUAAAUACAGUUUCAUCCCCAGAACAAAUUUUUGACUGGAAGCAAUUACCUGAAAGUGCCAUCCAAGCCCCCACAACAGACGCCUUCCGGGUCUGUGUGUGGCAGUUACUGGCGUAACUAUUGAUACCUGAUUUUAACCCUGUACAGUUGUUGCAAACUCACAUAAUUUUAUUUGAUUUUGUUCCUGUAAAUACACAAGUUUUUGUUUAUUUUUAACUUGGCGUGUACUGGUUGACACACCCGCACAGUAUAUCUGUGUUAUGGAAAUUUCAACUGCAGAUUAACGACAAAAUAUAGAAGAAGAAGUACAAUAAACACUAGACAACAGGAAUGAUAGGAUAUAUCUUCUGGGGGAUGGAUGGUAACUGAAUCAAUACAAAUAGCCUCAUUGAAUUUGAAAAAAGCUGCAAAUGAUAUCAGUAACAAAAGAUUGUUAGUGUGCAGUGUGCAGUGUGCAGACAGUGGUUAAACAGAAGUUAACAUUCUAUUAGUUUUGGGAUUUUACAAUCAAUGCCAAAAUGAAUGAUUAUGCUAGAGGAAAUAAUAGGAGAAAAAGGGACCUGUGUGGUAAAAACUUCCUAAAAGUCGUCCUUUAUGUGUUCAACUUUUUCUUUUGGCUGACAGCCCGGUUAGCUUUCCUAGCAUUAGGGUUAUAUAUCAAGUUCCAGAAGCAUACCUAUAUCAAUCUGCUAGGGAACAGUACUUUCCCUUUGGCAACAUACUUGCUACUAGGAACAGGAGCCUUUAUUAUCUUGUCAGGAAUCAUUAGUUGUACUGGGACAUGUAUAGAAAAGAGAUGUUUUAUGGUUAUGGUUGGAAGAGACUGAUGAACUAUACAUAUCUGGGAUACAGAAUCAAUUAUGAAACAUCGUCAGUACUGAAAGGUCAACAUCAAAGAGGGGUCAGUGUGCUGUAGACUUCUCAGGUGAUGGUAAAGUUUCGCAUCAUUUGGUUUGGAUGACAACCAUCUUAUUUUAGUUUGAGACUGGAGAAAGGGAGAGAAAUUAACAUCUACCAGAUAAAAGAAGUCAUGUAUACAGACAACAUUUUGUAAAGAAGUCAUUGUCACAGGCCCAGGAAUGUAGAAAAGGCUUUUAUAAUUACAAAGAAGGAUUCUCAGAUUCUUGGGUG